GUGGGGAAUUUUGGACAAUGGGCGCAAGCCUGAUCCAGCCAUGCCGCGUGCAGGAUGAAGGCCUUCGGGUUGUAAACUGCUUUUGUACGGAACGAAAAGGCUCUGGUUAAUACCUGGGGCUCAUGACGGUACCGUAAGAAUAAGCACCGGCUAACUACGUGCCAGCAGCCGCGGUAAUACGUAGGGUGCAAGCGUUAAUCGGAAUUACUGGGCGUAAAGCGUGCGCAGGCGGUUUUGUAAGACAGACGUGAAAUCCCCGGGCUCAACCUGGGAAUGGCGUUUGUGACUGCAAAGCUGGAGUGCGGCAGAGGGGGAUGGAAUUCCGCGUGUAGCAGUGAAAUGCGUAGAUAUGCGGAGGAACACCGAUGGCGAAGGCAAUCCCCUGGGCCUGCACUGACGCUCAUGCACGAAAGCGUGGGGAGCAAACAGGAUUAGAAACCCGAGUAGUC
This 449-nucleotide ribosomal RNA is filed under the name uncultured bacterium. Its description in RNAcentral is "partial 16S ribosomal RNA". It matches the Rfam family "Bacterial small subunit ribosomal RNA", at positions 354 to 795 of the family's 1533-position model. The record is from RNAcentral.